Long non-coding RNA from Amphiprion ocellaris (clown anemonefish), 2826 nucleotides. The record is from Ensembl. NCBI's taxonomy places the organism in Eukaryota, Metazoa, Chordata, Actinopteri, Pomacentridae.
UAGACCAGGCUGAUCCUGGACCAUCCCACAGAUGCUCAAUCAGAUCUGGAUGUGAGGAGUGUGGAACCCAGAUGUUCAGAGGGAGAUGAUGCCACAUCUGGUCCAGCUGAUGGAAGGUCUUGAAGUUCUCUGACUGGCCUGGACUGAAGAUGGUCGUCUCACUGGAUUUAAGGUUCAGAUGCUCAGUAACAAACUCCACCAAUGAGCCAACAGGGAAGCUUUAGGUUUAUUAAAUGUUGCUAUGAAGGUUUCGCUGUUUUUCUUUGUGAAUGCAAUGUGCUCCAACUGAAACUUGAAGUAGAACUUAGAAGUAAAUCCUUCCAUCUGAAAGGAUUUAGUUGCAUUGAUAACCUCAUAACAUUCUAAUUUUUAUUCCAGUCUUGGUUGGAAAUAGAAUCUCUGUAUUGAUUUAGGUAAAAACUGAACUUCACAGCAUGUUGAAGCAAAACAACCAGAUGAAAACUGUGAUGGUGUUGGAUUGUCAGACCGUAAUGUUGCAGCUCAAAGCAGCUUUUCUAUCUCAGUUCAUUCUGACAUUCAGCUAUGAAUCAACACAGCAGAUGGUGAUCCAUGCUGUGGAAGUCUCACAUCUCCUGAUUUAAUGGAGCUGCUUUGCACUUUUUACACUGUUUAUUCACCAACACUUUAUUUAAUAAAAGUCCCAUCUAGUUUUCAUGAGGAAUGUGAUGUUUUAAUUUCUCUGUGAAUAACUGCAGUCUAAUGCAACAGCUGGAGUUGUAACAUCUGUCCUGAUAUUGAUCAUGAAGUAUUGAUCAGAAUACUUAUGGUUAGCAGUCAUUCCUGAAGUUUUACAUUAAAAUCUUUACUUGUGUUGUGAACUUUGGUGAGAAGCAGAAACUUUAGCGUUGCCAUGGAUACAUGAGUGUUAAAUUCUGUCCAUGUUUCCAUUUUGGGAAAUGCAGUCCAGUUCCAGAAUGUGGAGGAAUUUAGUCUCACAAUCACAGACAACAAAUAUUAUCUGAAAGUUGGGUUAUUGUUGUUUAUCAGCACAAUACAAAAAGAUUAAUUUUAGAAAUUUCCAGUUAAGACUCUAGAAUAUCAUGAUUUAUGUAAAUUUAACUCAAUAAUAUGAAUGUUCAGGUUAAGAUUGUACAGUGAUAUUUAUUAUGUAAGUUUAGCUGAUUAAAGUUUAUGACUGCACAAAAAUAUUAUUUAAAUUUACAUCAUUAUUAUAAUAUUUAGGGUCAGACCCUACAGUAUUGAGAUUAAGAAAUCAAAUAUUCUAUAAAAUGUAAAUACACUGAACUCAUUUGGAUAUAUUUAAGUGAGACUCUACAAUAUUAUUUGACACAAAUCUAUCUAAAUCAAAAUUUUAGUUAUUUUUAUUCCAAACAUUUACUGGACUGAUUUAAAUAUUAAAAUCACUCCUUUCUAAUCCUCUGCUGUACGUUCAAACCUGAGGCCUUAAAUAGAAACACACAAGUAUCUGAUUGAAGGAACUUCUGCAGAGUCCUGGUUCCAGAACAUGAUGAUAGAAUUAUAAACAAACUUUAACAAAAGCUGCCUGAGAGUUUACAGGUUUUUAUGUUAGAUUUCUUCAGUAAUUUAAUGAGCGUUAUCAGCAAAAAUCAAGUGUUCAUUUGAUGAACUUCAUUUCCUAAAACAUCCAGAAUUGGAGCUCAUAUCUUUGGCAGCUGUAAAGUUUCUGCUCCUUCAAAGUUCACAACACAAUGAAUGAAUUCCUAAAACACUCUCAAUGCUGGAGAGCAUUUGUGAUGCUGAAGCAGUGACCAGUUUUUCUGUUUCUUCUCUGGAGAUGCACAAUGAGGGACGUCUGCAGAGACUGAGAAAGAGUCUCACCACAUCCUGACAUGAGGAAAAAGACUUUAUUGAAGACUACAAUGAGAAAAACUAUCAGAUAGCAGACGGCUGCAUUCAAGUCUGUAGCUGCUGAAUUCAUGGAUGAAUCAUCUGGCACUAGAGAGGAAGACCAUCAAACAUCCACGUCAGCUGAUGGAGGUCCAAGAGUCUCACCCAACAAACAACCUACAGAGUGAAGACCUCAAAUCUGAUUGGACGGCCUCCUAUUCAGCCACUUUAGGCUGUUAGAUUGUUCCAGAUAAGACAAGUACAAGAUUCUUCAGAGCCGUUCUACCACGAGCCUGACAGGAAGAACUCCAACAGCUACUGAAUGUUCCUGUGGUUCCCUCAAGGCUACAGGAGGAGCCCUAUGAGGACGAGCCGGUCCACCUGAUGGAGGCCAGUCGCUGUGGUUCAAAGCCAACACCGACUACGUGGACUUCUACUGGACCACAUGGAGGCCUUCAAACCGGACCAACAAGUUCAGCGACUCCCCGACUCGUGGGUCUGAGGACGCCGCCGAGCCUCGGUCCAGCCGGCCUCCUGUCUGUGGGAUGUUUGAGUGCUGAGAGGUUUUUGGAUGGAUGUGAACAUGUCUGUGUUUAAACAGCAGCUUUGGACUCAGUAACGCUGGGAAAAACCAAGAGCUCCUUUAUUUGUGACUUCCACUAAAAAAAAGAUGAAAAUAACCUUUUAAACCUUUUAGGUAAAUGUUCCAGGAUGUUGGGUAGAAUAUACCAUCAGAUCAACCUUUUAGGUCUACAUUGGAAGAUUUUAGAGUAGAAUAUUACUCCAAACCAUCCUUUAGGUCUACAUUUAAGGUGGAAUACUACUUUACACCAAGAUUUUUUUGGUCUACAUUGAAGGAUUUUAGGUGGAAUAUUCCUUUGAACGAACUUUUUAAAUUUAUGUUCAAGGAUGUUGGGUGGAAUAUACCAUCAGACCAACCUCCAAGGUCUAUAGUAGUGAAUUUUGGGUGGAAUAUACCAUUAAACUCACCUUUUA